Molecule: long non-coding RNA, 1643 nt
Organism: Panicum virgatum (switchgrass)
Lineage: Eukaryota; Viridiplantae; Streptophyta; Magnoliopsida; Poales; Poaceae
Exons: 5
Source: RefSeq, a predicted model, not a curated record
CGGUUCUUUGAGGCGGAGAUAGCGAAAGGGAUAGAUGGCGUCGGGGAUCGGGAUGGCCGGGAGGGGCGGCACGGCGGAGCGCAGGGCUGUCCGGGCGGGAAUGGCCGGAUGGGCGCGGGGAUGGCGUCGAGGCGUCGAGAUGGGCAGCGGCGCAUCUCGGCGUCGGGAGGCACAGCUCGGCGGCCGCCAGGCGACACCAGGACAACCCCUACGACGGCGACCCAGGCCCUCGCACGCACGCCACCCCGCGCACCCAGAUCCGGCGACUUCCAGUCGCACCUAUCUCCGCCUCGACCGGACGCUGAAUGAAGCAGCCCUGCGGACCCAGAACCGCCAUCGCCUGCCUGGUCCCUCUUCCCUCAUCCUCCGCCGCCACCAGGGAUCGCGGACGGACUCCGCAACCGUGGGCUGGAGAGAAUCAAAGCAAUCAAGUUCUGUCAAAAGCUAGGGAUUUAUUUGAAUCUGAAUCCUGUGUGUAAACUUUUCUUCCUUUAGGUUGCUGAUGAGCUUAUCAAGAGACGAGCAGAGACUGAAUGGUUAUUUUCUCUAUUGCAAGAACAUAUGCUUAAAAUUGAAUAUCAGUGUGGUGGGUGGAUGAUUGCAUGGCAUAAAAAAAAUGGAAAAUGAAUCUCGGCUUAGCAAUUUGUGUAAAUGUGUGGCAAUGGAUCUAUACUUGCUGCUAGAUGAACUGGAGUUCACCUAGCUUGUUGCGGAUUUUGUUGCUGCGUGGUGCUCUGGUGGAUUACUGAAAGCAGGGUUCGACUAAACCCCCAUGCCCAAACUUAGCCCCAGCCCGAUUUGUAAGUUAUGGAGUUUGAUGAUGAUCGGGACAUUGGUGUGGGUAGUGGAAACAGCGAGGUUGAUGACGAAGUGGAUGAGCCUGCCAGCUGUUGCUGUUCAGAUGCCUACAUUGUGGAAUCAGUGCAAACGUGACACCACAUAUGCAUCAUGGCCCAGAGGGACGAAGGACUUUAUGCAAUUCAUGUGGCAUAGCAUGGGCAAAGGGUUACAAUCUGGAGGAUGCAGGAAUUGUCUUUGAAAGGAGACCUUGAUGUUAAGUUUGUGCUCACUACUAAUUUGCCCAGUUCACAUCCUGGUUUCGCUCCAUUUUCUUACUAGCUAGGAGCAAAAUUGCUUGUGCAACAUCAGCUAUGAAUUCAAUUUUUUGGCAAGAGGUUCCACAGAAGGAUGCGGUAAGCUUUCUAUUUCUCUAUAAAUUUAACCGUAGCGUUAGCACGGGCAUGCUUUCUAGUGGAUUACAAAAGUACUGAAUCGCAUGCAGGUCCCCUUUGGCCGGUCUCCAAAUGGCACUGAGCUUCCACUGGCACCUUGUGGUUUUGUGAAGGGGGCGGGAGUGAAGAGAGAAAAACGACUCUAGUGAUCAGCUAAUAGCUAUGCUACAAUAGCAUUGUUAGGUGGAGCCGGAGCCCAUUGGAGCCAUGCUAGAGGCACCCAUAGCAUGUCUAAUAGUAUAGACAUCUUUUUCAAAAAUAUAGUACAGAGACAACAUGUACCCUCCAUUUCUAUAUAUACAUUUUCUCUAGAAUCGUGUCAUUAUGUACACAUCAUGUGAUGAGUAAUAUAUUGUUUCCUCCCACAAUCAAUACAACUUCCAAUGAUUAUCAAAUUUGUAGUUUGUGUGA